ACUCCUACGGGAGGCAGCAGUGGGGAAUAUUGCACAAUGGGCGCAAGCCUGAUGCAGCCAUGCCGCGUGUAUGAAGAAGGCCUUCGGGUUGUAAAGUACUUUCAGCAGUGAGGAAGGCGGGUACGUUAAUAGCGUGCUCGUUUGACGUUAGCUGCAGAAGAAGCACCGGCUAACUCCGUGCCAGCAGCCGCGGUAAUACGGAGGGUGCGAGCGUUAAUCGGAAUUACUGGGCGUAAAGCGCAUGCAGGUGGUUUGUUAAGUCAGAUGUGAAAGCCCGGGGCUCAACCUCGGAAUUGCAUUUGAAACUGGCAGACUAGAGUACUGUAGAGGGGGGUAGAAUUUCAGGUGUAGCGGUGAAAUGCGUAGAGAUCUGAAGGAAUACCGGUGGCGAAGGCGGCCCCCUGGACAGAUACUGACACUCAGAUGCGAAAAGCGUGGGGAGCAAACAGGAUUAGAUA
Molecule: ribosomal RNA, 458 nt
Filed under: uncultured bacterium
Lineage: Bacteria
Description: bacterial SSU rRNA
Rfam family: Bacterial small subunit ribosomal RNA
Source: RNAcentral